Molecule: ribosomal RNA, 329 nt
Filed under: uncultured eukaryote
Lineage: Eukaryota
Description: partial 18S ribosomal RNA
Rfam family: Eukaryotic small subunit ribosomal RNA
Source: RNAcentral
CCCUUAGAUGUUCUGGGCCGCACGCGCGCUACACUGAUGCAUUCAACGAGUCUAAAACCUGCUCUGAUAGGGGUGGGUAAUCUUUUGAAUGUGCAUCGUGAUUGGGAUAGAUGAUUGCAAUUUUUCAUCUUCAACGAGGAAUGCCUAGUAAACGCAAGUCAUCAGCUUGCAUUGAUUACGUCCCUGCCCUUUGUACACACCGCCCGUCGCUCCUACCGAUUGAAUGAUCCGAUGAAUAUCAUGGAUUGAGGAUGCAAGUAGGUUCGCCUAUCUUCAUCUUCGAGAAGUGAAGUAAAUCUUAUCAUUUAGAAGAAGGAGAAGUCGUAACA